CUCUGAAGAUGAGAUAGUCGGGCUUGAUUGGGAACAAUACAUGGUUUAUGUGCUCGUUCUGGGUAAAUAGAGUUUCUAGCAUUUAUGUUAGUUACUUGUUCCCCGGAUAGUUUAGUUACGUAGCCAAUUGUGGAACUUUCUUGCUAAAAUUUUUAAGAAUACUAUUUGGGUUAAACCAAUUAGUUCUUAUCAAUUAUAACGAUUAUCAAUUAACAAUCAAUUCAGAACUGGCACGGACUUGGGGAAUCCGACUGUCUAAUUAAAACAAAGCAUUGUGAUGGCCCUAGCGGGUGUUGACACAAUGUGAUUUCUGCCCAGUGCUCUGAAUGUCAAAGUGAAGAAAUUCAAGUAAGCGCGGGUCAACGGCGGGAGUAACUAUGACUCUCUUAAGGUAGCCAAAUGCCUCGUCAUCUAAUUAGUGACGCGCAUGAAUGGAUUAACGAGAUUCCUACUGUCCCUAUCUACUAUCUAGCGAAACCACAGCCAAGGGAACGGGCUUGGAAUAAUUAGCGGGGAAAGAAGACCCUUUUGAGCUUGACUCUAAUCUGGCAGUGUAAGGAGACAUAAGAGGUGUAGAAUAAGUGGGAGAUAUUAGACCUCGGUUUGGUAUCGUCAAUGAAAUACCACUACUCUUAUUGUUUCCUUACUUACUUGAUUAAAUGGAACGUGUAUCAUUUCCUAGCCAUUAUACGGAUAUAUUUAUUAUAUCUUAUGGUAUUGGGUUUUGAUGCAAGCUUCUUGAUCAAAGUAUCACGAGUUUGUUAUAUAAUCGCAAACAAAUUCUUUAAUAAAACGAUGCAUUUAUGUAUUUUUGAUUUGAAAAUUUGGUAUAACUCCAAUUACUCAGGUAUGAUCCAAUUCAAGGACAUUGCCAGGUAGGGAGUUUGACUGGGGCGGUACAUCUCUCAAAUAAUAACGGAGGUGUCCCAAGGCCAGCUCAGUGCGGACAGAAACCACACAUAGAGCAAAAGGGCAAAUGCUGACUUGAUCUCGGUGUUCAGUACACACAGGGACAGCAAAAGCUCGGCCUAUCGAUCCUUUUGGUUUAAAGAGUUUUUAACAAGAGGUGUCAGAAAAGUUACCAUAGGGAUAACUGGCUUGUGGCGGCCAAGCGUUCAUAGCGACGUCGCUUUUUGAUCCUUCGAUGUCGGCUCUUCCUAUCAUUGUGAAGCAAAAUUCACCAAGCGUUGGAUUGUUCACCCAUGCAAGGGAACGUGAGCUGGGUUUAGACCGUCGUGAGACAGGUUAGUUUUACCCUACUAAUGACAAAACGUUGUUGCGACAGCAUUCCUGCGUAGUACGAGAGGAACCGCAGGUACGGACCAAUGGCACAAUACUUGUUCGAGCGAACAGUGGUAUGACGCUACGUCCGUUGGAUUAUGCCUGAACGCCUCUAAGGUCGUAUCCGUGCUGGACUGCAAUGAUAAAUAAGGGGCAAUUUGCAUUGUAUGGCUUCUAAACCAUUU
RNAcentral lists this non-coding RNA (1466 nucleotides) under Drosophila sechellia. Its description in RNAcentral is "Eukaryotic large subunit ribosomal RNA". It matches the Rfam family "Eukaryotic large subunit ribosomal RNA", at positions 1952 to 3202 of the family's 3401-position model. The record is from Rfam by way of RNAcentral. Lineage: Eukaryota; Metazoa; Arthropoda; Insecta; Diptera; Drosophilidae.